RNAcentral lists this ribosomal RNA (488 nucleotides) under uncultured bacterium. RNAcentral's name for it is "bacterial SSU rRNA". It matches the Rfam family "Bacterial small subunit ribosomal RNA", at positions 29 to 505 of the family's 1533-position model. The record is from RNAcentral.
AUUGAACGCUGGCGGCGUGUCUUAAGCAUGCAAGUUGAGCGGCAAGGAGGAGAGAUCCUCCCUAGAGCGGCGGACUGGUGAGUAACGCGUGGGUAAUCUAUCGUAGGCAUGGGGAUAGUCACUAGAAAUAGUGGGUAAUACCGAAUACGUUCCAUGAGGGGAGUAUUCAUGGAAGAAAGGGUGCUACGGCACUGGCCUUAGGUGAGCUCGCGUCCCAUUAGCUAGUUGGUGAGGUAAAGGCCCACCAAGGCGAUGAUGGGUAGCCGGCCUGAGAGGGUGUACGGCCACACUGGGACUGAGAUACGGCCCAGACUCCUACGGGAGCAGCAGCUAAGAAUAUUCCGCAAUGGACGAAAGUCUGACGGAGCGACGCCGCGUGGAUGAAGAAGGCCGAAAGGUUGUAAAGUUCUUUUGCUAGGGGAGAAUAAGUGAGGGAGGGAAUGCCCUAUGAUGACAAGGACUAGCGAAUAACGCCCCGGCCAACUACG